GGAUGUGAGGGAGAUCCAACUACAACAUCUGUCACCCCACUGAUCGCCAGUGUUGAUUCACUUGAUCUGCCUAACGUACCUCUCUCAGCCUUCCACUGGCCUCCUUCUGGAAGCCACUUCUUUCUCUGAAUAGAGGAGGACUGGUCCUCAGUCAAGGGUCCAUGAGUAGACACAUUCCCCUGCUAGAACCUCCCAACGAACUCUCAAGGGAGCUGAGUCCUUAUGCCAUGUGUCUACUACAAGACAGUUCGCACAUACCACAUAGGCAGAUGGGGCGGGGAGGGGCAUCUUUCAUG
This 296-nucleotide small nuclear RNA is filed under the name Rattus norvegicus (Norway rat). RNAcentral describes it as "7SK RNA". It matches the Rfam family "7SK RNA". From Rfam's summary of the family: 7SK was discovered as an abundant small nuclear RNA in the mid-70s but a possible function has only recently been suggested. Lineage: Eukaryota; Metazoa; Chordata; Mammalia; Rodentia; Muridae. The record is from Rfam by way of RNAcentral.